Pteropus vampyrus (large flying fox) is the source of this 119-nucleotide ribosomal RNA. Lineage: Eukaryota; Metazoa; Chordata; Mammalia; Chiroptera; Pteropodidae. The record is from Ensembl.
GUUUACGGUCAUGCCACCGUAAACAAGCCCGAUCCUGUCUAACCUCGAAAGCUAAGCAGGGUCCUGCCUGGAAAGUACUUGCAUGGGAGACCACCUAGGAAGACCAGGUGCUAUAUGUG